Molecule: ribosomal RNA, 200 nt
Filed under: uncultured bacterium
Lineage: Bacteria
Description: partial 16S ribosomal RNA
Rfam family: Bacterial small subunit ribosomal RNA
Source: RNAcentral
GAUGAACGCUAGCGGCAGGCCUAACACAUGCAAGUCGAGGGGUAUAGUAGCAAUACUAGAGACCGGCGCACGGGUGCGUAACGCGUAUGCAACCUACCUUUUACAGGGGAAUAGCCCAGAGAAAUUUGGAUUAAUGCCCCAUGGUAUAUUUGAGUGGCAUCACUUGAUUAUUAAAGUUCCAACGGUAAAAGAUGGGCAUG